This 483-nucleotide ribosomal RNA is filed under the name uncultured bacterium. RNAcentral's name for it is "partial 16S ribosomal RNA". It matches the Rfam family "Bacterial small subunit ribosomal RNA", at positions 28 to 507 of the family's 1533-position model. The record is from RNAcentral.
GAUGAACGCUGGCGGCGUGCCUAACACAUGCAAGUCGAACGGAGUCGUUUUGGAAAUCUCUUCGGAGAUGGAAUUCUCGACUUAGUGGCGGACGGGUGAGUAACGCGUGAGCAAUCUGCCUUUAAGAGGGGGAUAACAGUCGGAAACGGCUGCUACUACCGCAUAAAGCAUUAAAUUCGCAUGUUUUUGAUGCCAACGGAGCAAUCCGCUUUUAGAUGAGCUCGCGUCUGAUUAGCUAGUUGGCGGGGUAACGGCCCACCAAGGCGACGAUCAGUAGCCGGACGUAGAGGAUGAACGGCCACAUUGGGACAGAGACACGGCGCAGACUCCUACGGGAGGCAGCGGUGGGGAAUAGUGCACAAGGAGGGAAACCCUGACGCAGCAACGCCGCGUGAUUGAAGAAGGCCUUCGGGUUGUAAAGAUCUUUAAUCAGGGACGAAACAAAUGACGGUACCUGAAGAAUAAGCUCCGGCUAACUACGGG